RNAcentral lists this ribosomal RNA (222 nucleotides) under Trichomonas vaginalis G3. RNAcentral describes it as "5.8S ribosomal RNA". The stretch from base 1 to 137 matches the Rfam family "Eukaryotic small subunit ribosomal RNA", at positions 1671 to 1831 of the family's 1831-position model. Lineage: Eukaryota; Parabasalia; Trichomonadida; Trichomonadidae. The record is from RNAcentral.
GCCCGUCGCUCCUACCGAUUGGAUGACUCGGUGAAAUCACCGGAUGCUUACGAGCAGAAAGUGAUUAAAUCACGUUAUCUAGAGGAAGGAGAAGUCGUAACAAGGUAACGGUAGGUGAACCUGCCGUUGGAUCAGUUCUAGUUUUAAUAACUAACACCAACUUCUUUUAUUAAACAAAAACCAAUACAAAAUUAAAAACUAACUCAUCAAAAACCAAGUCUC